Long non-coding RNA from Pristis pectinata (smalltooth sawfish), 648 nucleotides. RefSeq lists it as uncharacterized. Lineage: Eukaryota; Metazoa; Chordata; Chondrichthyes; Rhinopristiformes; Pristidae. The record is from RefSeq and is a predicted model, not a curated record. The transcript is spliced from 3 exons.
CUCAGCAGAGGAAGCAGAGUCCUGUAGGGAAGCCGAUCAUCAGUGAGAGAGCAUUGCACAGAGAAACUCUGAAGUUCAGCUCACCAGGUUAAACUGGAUCAGAGUAUCAAGAUGGUGAUACUUGCUCUUCUUGCCCUCUUCUGCUUAAACAUUGGAACUCCUGGUGAAGCACAGGUGGUUGAUGGAAUCGACAGCACUGCGCCGGACAGCGAAGUGAAGAGGAAUGAAGCCCGAGAUUGCUCCAACCCGACCUGUGAGACAGGUAAUCUGGCCGACACAAUGGCACAUCUUGCAGCUCAUAAGGGUAAACCACGUGCCCCGUACAACACAGUGGACGCUGGCAAGAAGUAAUGGUGAAGAUCCAUUUUUCCUGAUGGGCUAUUCAACCAGGGUAGCCCAGUAACAUCACCCAGCUGUCCCCACCCACCCUGUAACAUUCAACUCUGAAUUGCAUCAUGAUACUUGCACUCCACAUCCUGAAGAACUGAUCUCCCAGAAAAGACCAAACGCAGUAAUGCCACGCGAGAGGAUGUUAUUUUGGCCAGAUACAACAACCAGCACCGUCUUCCCUCUUUCCUCUUUGUAUAAUGAAUGAGCGCGAGGGGAGAGGGCAGUGGGGAAAUAGCAGAACACACUUCGUCUAAUAAC